RNAcentral lists this ribosomal RNA (167 nucleotides) under uncultured rumen bacterium. RNAcentral describes it as "partial 16S ribosomal RNA". It matches the Rfam family "Bacterial small subunit ribosomal RNA", at positions 340 to 524 of the family's 1533-position model. The record is from RNAcentral.
UACGGGAGGCAGCAGUGGGGAAUAUUGCACAAUGGAGGAAACUCUGAUGCAGCGACGCCGCGUGAGUGACGAAGUGUUUCGGCAUGUGAAGCUCUAUCAGCAGGGAAGAAAAUGACGGUACCUGACUAAGAAGCCCCGGCUAACUACGUGCCAGCAGCCGCGGUAAU